AUGGAAUACAUCAUCAGUGAAAGAGAGAGAAGUCAGUUGGUGACCAGGUAGAUGGACAUUAAACAUUGGGGAUGAAAACUCGAAUUGCUGACAAGUUUUUGGUGUGAGCAUCACAUCUCAACAACUAGAGUGAAGAAAUAAUUAUCUAGGAUGGCAAUGAAACACACUGAUCCUACAUUUAUAAUAUGGAUAAAAGAAGAAAAAAAAGACAGGAUCAAAAGUGGAUUUUAGUUGUAAACUCAGCCAUGGCAGCAAUACAAUGAAUCCACUGAAUGCAUCCUUCAUUUGACAGUAUUCAUAUUUCACCAUGGGAUUUGGAGUGGUCCAUCCAAUCAAAUAGCAGCAAGUACCUUCAGAAAAACCGACCUGAUAUCUGCUCACAAGUUUUCCAGCCUUAUUGUUUGAGAGGAAGGUCACUUUCUGGAAGGCUCAGGAAACUGAAAAAUAUUUUUAGUACCUAUUUUGAGUAGAGGAGAGUUUAGCUAAUUCUAUGGAUAUUGCAGGUUUUAUUAUCUACCUAUAAACUGCCCUAUUCCUGAAGCCCUGCAAGCUAGGGCUGGGCAACUUGAUAUAAACUUCAGAGGACAAUCUUCAUGCAUGCUGCUGUGUGGGCUGCUAAGGAAGUUCACCAAAACAUCCAAUGACAUAAACUAAGCUUGUCCAACAUGUGGCCCACAGGCUGCAUGCAGCCAAAGAUGGCUUUGAAUGUG
RNAcentral lists this long non-coding RNA (710 nucleotides) under Homo sapiens (human). RNAcentral's name for it is "HSALNT0313052". The record is from RNAcentral. Lineage: Eukaryota; Metazoa; Chordata; Mammalia; Primates; Hominidae.